GAUGAAGAACGCAGCGAAAUGCGAUACUUGGUGUGAAUUGCUGAAUCCCGUGAACCAUCAAGUUUUUGAACGCAAGUUGCGCCCGAAGCCAUUAGGCCGAGGGCACGCCUGCCUGGGUGUCACACAUUGUUGCCCCAAUGCCAAUCGCCUCACUUUGUAGGUAUUUGCUUGGGGUGAAUGUUGGCCUCCCGUGAGCUCUGUCUCACGGUUGGUUGAAAAUCGAGUGCAUGGUGUCGGGUGUACCAUGAUGGAUGGUGGUUGAGUGAUGCUCGAGGCGAAUCAUGGGUAACUCCACCAGAAUUGUGCUCGGUGACCCACAUCAAGUCAGGCGGGGCUACCCGCUGAGUUUAAGCAUAUCAAUAAGCGGAGGA
RNAcentral lists this unclassified non-coding RNA (371 nucleotides) under soil metagenome. RNAcentral's name for it is "partial contains 5.8S ribosomal RNA, internal transcribed spacer 2, and large subunit ribosomal RNA". The stretch from base 1 to 122 matches the Rfam family "5.8S ribosomal RNA", at positions 35 to 154 of the family's 154-position model. The record is from RNAcentral.